UACGAAGGGAGCUAGCGUUGUUCGGAAUCACUGGGCGUAAAGCGCACGUAGGCGGAUUUGUUAGUCAGGGGUGAAAUCCCGGGGCUCAACCUCGGAACUGCCUUUGAUACUGCAAAUCUCGAGUCCGGAAGAGGUUGGUGGAAUUCCUAGUGUAGAGGUGAAAUUCGUAGAUAUUAGGAAGAACACCGGUGGCGAAGGCGGCCCACUGGUCCGGUACUGACGCUGAGGUGCGAAAGCGUGGGGAGCAAACAGG
This 253-nucleotide ribosomal RNA is filed under the name uncultured bacterium. RNAcentral's name for it is "partial 16S ribosomal RNA". It matches the Rfam family "Bacterial small subunit ribosomal RNA", at positions 524 to 776 of the family's 1533-position model. The record is from RNAcentral.